RNAcentral lists this long non-coding RNA (733 nucleotides) under Capra hircus (goat). RNAcentral's name for it is "lncRNA (ENSCHIG00000001535.1)". The record is from RNAcentral. Lineage: Eukaryota; Metazoa; Chordata; Mammalia; Artiodactyla; Bovidae.
ACUCAGCUCUGUCUCCCUCUUUGUUCUCCUUAUUCUUAUACAGCUUCCAUCCCUGUACCGGCUUCCAGAAACUCCAGGUUACACUCUAGCAAGUUCUCAAUCCCAGAGAUAAGAGAGAGACCGGUUCUCAAUAGUUCCAGCAAACUUCACAGGAUUGACUUCACUGGGUGGAUUUUGUCGAAGGAGGUCAUGGAGAAGCUGUGACCACUGGUUGACCUGAGAACCAGACCUGGAGAGUUGGAGGCUCCUCACCCCUCCUCCGCCCUUGGACUGCAUGCUCUGCCCACUGUUCUCACGGCCUUGAGAGACCAUCUGGAUGGUGUUUGUACCUGAACACCAUUAAGGCCUCUCUGGACAUCUUUAAGAAUCCUGUGGGAGUCAGAAAAGGCCAGGGAAGGAGCUCAGGCUGUGAAAGGCCCAGGAGUCUGAGUCAAGUCCUGGCGCUCCUGUAAGAUGGGUUCCGCGAGAGCUCAGCCUUGGAAAGGACCCCAGAAGGCCAUUCUCCAAAGAACAAGUUUGAAAUGGAGAUAAGCUACUGCAUGGCAUAGCAUGAAAAGUACCGGAUUAGAAGUUCUGGUUCUGGGUCCAAGCCUCACUGUCUCACUAACCUGCAAGGUGAUCUUGAAUGAGUUCCUUUAUCUGUGAAGUUUGCUUUUUCUCGCUUUUCUUUUGUUGUUUCUGUCAGUCGCCAAGUCAUGUUCUACUCUUUGUGACCCCAUGGACUGCAGCACUC